CGAUGGUAGGAUAGAGGCCUACCAUGGUGGUAACGGGUAACGGGGUGUUAGGGCACGACACCGGAGAGGGAGCCUGAGAAACGGCUACCACAUCCAAGGAUGGCAGCAGGCGCGCAAAUUACCCAAUCCCGACACGGGGAGGUAGUGACAAUAAAUAACAAUACGGGGUUCUUAUGGAUUUCGUAAUUGGAAUGAGUACAAUUUAAAUCUCUUAACGAGGAACAAUUGGAGGGCAAGUCUGGUGCCAGCAGCCGCGGUAAUUCCAGCUCCAAUAGCGUAUAUUAAAGUUGUUGCAGUUAAAAAGCUCGUAGUUGAAUUUCGGGAUCAAUAUGUUGGUCGUGCCUCGGUACGUACUAGCAUAUUGGUUUCUCCUUUCUGAAGAACCAUGAUGUCAUUUAUUUGGUGUCGUGGGGAAUCAGGACUGUUACUUUGAAAAAAUUAGAGUGUUUAAAGCAGGCUCACGCUUGAAUACAUUAGCAUGGAAUAAUGAAAUAGGACGUUUGAUUCUAUUUUGUUGGUUUCUAGGAUCGACGUAAUGAUUAAUAGGGAUAGUUGGGGGCAUUAGUAUUCAAUUGUCAGAGGUGAAAUUCUUGGAUUUAUUGAAGACUAACUACUGCGAAGGCAUUUGCCAAGGAUGUUUUCAUUAAUCAAGAACGAAAGUUAGGGGAUCGAAGACGAUCAGAUANCCGUCGUAGUCUUAACCAUAAACUAUGCCGACUAGGGAUCGGAUGAUGUUAAUUUUUUAAUGACUCA
RNAcentral lists this ribosomal RNA (753 nucleotides) under uncultured Glomus. RNAcentral describes it as "SSU rRNA". It matches the Rfam family "Eukaryotic small subunit ribosomal RNA", at positions 323 to 1078 of the family's 1831-position model. The record is from RNAcentral. Lineage: Eukaryota; Fungi; Glomeromycota; Glomeromycetes; Glomerales; Glomeraceae.